Molecule: long non-coding RNA, 7248 nt
Filed under: Fragaria vesca (wild strawberry)
Lineage: Eukaryota; Viridiplantae; Streptophyta; Magnoliopsida; Rosales; Rosaceae
Description: long non-coding RNA (FVES_LNC000621)
Source: RNAcentral
CGGCGCCGGCGCCGGCUCUGCCGGCAGCAGCGGCCGGAGGCCGAUUCCGGCGACCUCCAAAUCCUACCAAAUUUUAACAGUAGCUUCCUCUCCACUCCCUCUACAACUUUCCUAACUAGCACAAACCCAAAAUCCAAGCCUAACUAGGUCAAACGAGCAAAAACAUCUAAAACACCCUAAAACUUCCACCUCUAAUUUCUCCUUACUUGAAGCGAACCGGAGUGAGCCUUUUUAGGGCAAGGCAGCUGGGUUGGAGACCUUCAAAACCGUACCAAGCUUGCCCGGAUUGGUGGCCGGAGGAGGGAGUUCCGGCGAAGGAGGACUUUGGGCAGCCCGAGGUUCUAGGCGGGAGAACUCCUUCACGGCGGCGCUAGGGCAGCCUUCACCGGCCUAGAAUGGAAGCUGGGUCAGAGGGCAACCGAACGGGACCGGAGCGGCGGCCUACGGUGGCUGGACAGCGGCGAGCUGAGCGGAGGAAACCGGCGGGGGAGAGAGAGCUCGGGAGGGAGAGAGAGAAGAGAGAAAGAAAAGAGAGAAGAAGAAGAAAUAGGCUUGGGCCUCCUACCCGGUCCAAGUCCUAUAUACAACCCAAUUCCAAAAAUAAAACACCCCGAAAAAAUAAUACCUGAAUAAAAAUUACCUUUUACUAGCUAAAAUUUACCAUUUUUACUGUCGUCAUAUUUUUCGCCUACGAAUAAUUCCCCGAAAUUAAUCGUCCCUCAAAACACCUCUAGGGACCGAUUAAACUAUUAUCUCAAUGACGGAGACGGUAAAAUUCUUAUUAUAACCAAGCUAGUAAAUAAGGUAAAAAUUUAAGAGUCGGGAUGUGACAAUUCUCCCCUCCUUAUAAAAAUUUCGUCCUCGAAAUUUACAUACCUGACAAAUCAAAGAGAUAAGGAUACUACUGCCUCAUUUGCUCCUUUGAUUCCCAAGUAGCUUCUUCUACUUGGUGACUCCUCCACAGAAUUUAACAAGAGGAAAAGAUUUGCUUCUAAGCAGUUGCUCCCUCUGGUCUAAAAACUGAACUGGAUCCUCAUCAAAGGUCAAAUCUUUCUACAAAAUAAUCGGCUGCUCUUGCAACCCAUGAGAGGAAUCGGCAAUAUACUUGUGAAACAUGAAUACAUGGAACACAUUAUGUAUCCUGGAUAAUUCUGGAGGCAAAACUAACUGAAACGCAAGAGAGCCAACUUGAUCUAAAAACCCGUAAGGACUAAUAAAUCUUGGACCAAGCUUUGCACGUUACUAAAACGUACCACCCCUUUCCAAGGAGACAAUUUCGAAAACACCCAAAAUACUCACUUGAAACUCAUGGUCCUUCAUGCGAACAUCUUUAUAAAUCUACUGGCUACUAAGAGCUGCUUUAAGUCUACCUCAAACUCCUUUAACCUUUUCAUUUAAAUCCUGAAUUAUUUUAAAUCUUCUCAAAGACUCUAAAUCCUUCAUUGAACUGCCACUAACGUUUACACGUAAGUGAGUUCAGUGAUACCUAUUCCAGAGUACGAGUACCCGUAGGUAUGCACACUCUUUCCUGAGCAAUGGAAAUAGUUAACCCAAAUAAAGCGCAUAAAUUUUCUAUCACCAUCGGGCUCAAAUCUCCUAACGUCACGCGACAACCUCGUCAAUACGCUGCUCACAGCUCGACAAUGAAACCCACUUGCUAGGAAACUAAAGUUCACACAUUCCCACAUGCUCAUAGGGGUCAAAAUUAAGACCCGUUAAGUUAAGUGAACAGACUUUUAAGGAUGCACACACUGCAGAACUGCAACAAUCACUCCUACUACCGAGACACCUCGCAGAGUCUUUCGCGGAGCCAAAGCUCUCGCAAGUCCACAAGAUAACCUUGCUCUGCCUAAAUGACCAGUCCACCAACAAAUGAUAACUUCGAUUUUCGAGAUAACAUUAUGAAAAGAUCAAUAGCACGUCACUUAGGUCUCUCCACCAAAAUUAUUACAUUACCAUUUUAUGCACCACCAGACUAGCAGCUUAUGGGAAUUCCAACUCUCCUGAUUCUACUAUCUCCACUAUUCUCUUUACCACAAACCAGAAGAUAAUCGGAAUCAUGACUAUCAUGUGGAAACUAGGAAUUCCUCCAUGCUCGCCAUAAACAAAACUGACUAAUAAUGCCCACGAAAAAUUGGCACAGUCAAUUCAUGAUGAUAAACUUGACGUUGAAAUCCACAUAAAUAGAACACCUCCUUACCUCUAACAACAAUAAAUCUGAUAGCAGAAAACAAUCUGAAAAUCAGAUAUGCUCAAGUCUCCUACACAUCCCAGGCCACGACUUCCCACCAAAAAGAUUCUUCGAAAACUGAGCUUGCAAUAACUUAUGCGACUAACAAAAGCAAAGACAAAUUUUUAUACAAGACCCACUACUACACCUUGUGGUUCACCAACUAACGAAAACCAUGAAUUCAAGCAAGAAUCAAAACUCAUGGCUUAACUCAACUCAAGCUCCAAAAGAAAUAAUUUAAAGCACACGAAAAGCAAGUCCUCUAACUUCGAGCUCAAAAGCUCCACAGAUCUCCGAUAUUCGCCAGAACCCGCUUCGAAAUCGCACUAGAAACCUCCACUAAUCAUCCUAACACCAACAGAUAAACGCACAACCAAAAAGCAAAGACCUCCCAAACAAAAACUUGGAUCAAUGAGUGGUCCCACCACAAAACGAUCCUGAGAAGAGACGUUGAUCAACCUAUCAAUAAAUCUACUAUUCGCCAUAAUAAUCUCUUAAUAAACCUUGACUCGAAAAACUUCUUGAGUCAACAGGGGAAAACCUUCUCCCAUAAUGCUACAUCAUGAAAUAUACCUACAACGACACAAACCAUCAAAUCAACAUCACCAUGCAACUCUUAAACUACCACAUAGGAUUUACGGCACCAAGACUCAUCGCUUAAAUGAACUCCAGCUCACUUGGGAUCACCACUGGAUUUAUUCCGGAACCAUGACUACGACACAACUACCAAAUAUCAUUUACCUCGAAACUUCGACAAAAUAACCAGAAUUUCUACCCUUCAAAUCGAAGCGUUGAAUCCGCAUUCCAAAAUUUCAAGCUCUGAGGAUACUACCUAAAAACUACAGUAGGAAUAAUUUAAAUAUUCCCACACACACCACAACCAAAACUUUACUCCAUCUCACCGAAUUAGAAAUAAGGUGAGAACAGAUUUGCCGCCUGUAGUCACCCAUUGUGAACGAAAUGAUGUCAAAACCAACUUCGAUCACAAAUUUGAGACUUACAUCAUCCACCCGGAAUGACAUUGCUUAAAAAAUACUUUGGACACCCACGCACUCUUGCUUUAUGAUCUAGUGGGUUCUAUUCUACCGCUGCCACUUCCACCAAUUUCAUGCAUCUACCUUAGAAUUUAUAAAACAAAAACUCAUGACAACACCUAUUUAAAAUUUCACCAUGUGUUGUCGUAAAACUGGAGUGACCACAACCAUCCCGCUCUCACUCCACCAUUACUUUUCGAUUCCAUUACAUUAUCAUCUUCCCAAACACUCAACAAAUUUGGAAACCAAACUUCAACACCUGGAAUUCCAAAAGAAUCCAUACUGGCCCCACGAUUAAAAUAAUAUAACCGACAACUCACUCCAUAAUUCCAAACUUGCUUGAAACUCAACAUUUAAUGCCAUCAAUAAAAUUAUAAAAUUCCCCAACUGUGGCACAACAAGAAGUUGUCACAACGCACUGACGAAUGACUUUUGUAAAACCAACAAUCCAAGUCAUUCUACUUAGUGUUUUAACAAACUUCAACUAACCCACAAUAGAGACCAAAAUCAUCAGAAAACUUACUAUUCAUCGACUACUAACAUCCAUCAUUUUCAAAAUAUAUUACCACUACCAUCUAGAUAAAAUGCUCUAAGGAUAGAAACAUAUCCAUAAUUAGCACUGCAGAAACCAGAACAUAUACCGCCAUAACCAAAAUUAUCCCAACAUGUUCCCAAUUGAUUUAUGUUGCAGAUAAAAUUGUCGGCAAAAUGGCUUUCAAUCAAGACUUAUCUAAAUUGACAUUUAGCUCUUUAUGCAGCAAUACCUUACCAUCCAAUCACUAGCCACAAAUUUCCUAAAACCUUGAUUAACCCAAGACUAGGGUCCUCAACAACUCAUAUAGGUACCCCUUUGAAUUACCAUUGGAUACCUCACCUCAUCAUUUCAACUAACUUUUUCAUCAAUAGAAUACACCACUACUUCGAACUUUCCUUCCAACUCAACUCUCUCAAAAGUCACGUAACUCAAUACGAAAAUCUCCCAUCUAUCAAUUUUGACUCCAAUCUUGCCCACAAAAAAAUGGACAACUCCAAGGCAUUAAUCAUCAACAUUUCACCCAACAGAUUUGCACAAGAUGCUCACCUUAGCAUCUUAAUCUGAAACCCUAAUCUUAAUUAACCCAAUCAAUCAUUGGAUACCUGAAAGGAAUGCUAACAAGCUUUUUCGUUCCCCACUCGCAAAACAACUCCAACAAUUAAUAUCAAAAAUAUUAAAUUAAUGAACCUUGGAAUAGGUGCAAACUAUACACCUUUUCAAAACUCGAAGGAUGAACACUCAAGAGGUCGGCGUACGGAGGCAUAGUCUUAGAGAUGUAGACAUUUAUGGCACACUACUGUCCAUAAAUAAAAGAAGAACAACUACAUCACAAACCUAAUCAACACAUAGUGUCUAAAGCAUAUAAUGCUAAUAGAUCCGCCGCGGUCGGACCAUCACUCUAUAGACACUAAGCAUGACCAAGAAUAUGAGAUAGUACUAAAAAGAGAAAGGAAACGAAUAACCUAGUGCUCUGAUACCAACUGACACGACCCACCCCAAAUUUCACCCUGAAACCCAGAAUAAGUCGUGCGGGGACCACCUCCAAGGAAAAUUUACCGAAAAAUCGGCAUAACCUCCCUUGAAAAUGGACAACCCUUCCUAAUAAUACCUGCAAACACUUCUGAAAAUUUAAAUCCAACCUUAAACUCCUGGAGUCUCCGUGCUCCCCAAAACACAACACCACCCAAAUUAUUUACUAAUCUAAACAAAUCUCAUAUCCAACCAUUAUUAGGUUCAGGGCAACUCUAACAGGAAAAAAAGGAAACAUAAUAAAUUAACAAACGGAAGCUAUAUGAUGACUAUGUCUCAUCCCCAUGUACGCCCGACCUCAACUAUGCAAUCCUGCAAACUGGGCAUUUUUAAAACGAAGAGCCCAGGGGAAAACAUUUGAAACACGUUAGAGUGAGUGGACAAAAAUAAAUUAACGAAUAAAAUAUUUAUGUUUCCCCAAAUCAAUUUCCAAGGAAAAUCGAAUGCAUGCUGCAAGCGAUAAAACUUUUAUCUCAUAAAUGUCGAGCCUCUCAGGCUCUAUAAUAUAUGUAUCUAUUUACACACGUUCAUACUCCCUAUAUAAAUUCAUGGGUCUAUAUAGGGCUACUACGCUCGCGUCCAACGCUCACGUCACGCCUUAAUGCGGUGCUACACUACGCCAUUAAGGUGGACAGACGGGUGUAUAAAUAUGUGCCCAUACCCCCUGUAUGAAUUAACCACUCAUAUAGGGCUACUACGCUUCGCGUCCAACGCUCACGUCACACCAUAAUGCGGCUAUAUGCUACGCCAUUAAGGUGGACAGACACAUAGGGCUAGCUAGCAUUUUUAUACAUACUCUCCUCAUAAAUACAUAUUUAUAUUCACCGAAAAUCCCAUUUUCGGUAACUCUCCAAGAGAAAUAAAAUCGUCAAAAUAAAAUGACGUCAAAAUGCUCCACAACAUUAAUUGUUCAUCUAUGAACUAUAGCAUGCAUUUUAUUUAAAACAAAAGUCCACUCAUAACUCUAGGCAUAAGCCCGACGAAAUCCAAAUCGCCACUCCAAUGAGGUUUCCUCGAAACCUGGCACAAAUUUAAAAAUUAAUUCCCAACUAAAACUCCAAUAUUUAAACAAAAUAGGCAAAAUUAACCGAGAGCCAUAGCUACGCUCAUCAUUGCCUAACUUCGAUAUUCUUAAAUCGAAACGAUCCGAACUUAAAUAUUAUACUCGGCAGCCGUAAUUACAACCUCCCCAAAAAUACGACUUAAAUCCUACGGCCGGAUUCUACAUUAAUUAACCGCCAAAAAUACCACACUUCGGAAAUUCAUAAACCUAUCCAAAACUCAUCCAAAAAUUCCAUAACUCACUUCAACAAACUCCCCUUAAUAUUCUAAAUUUAAAGCCCUAAAAAUCUUCCAAACAGUGGCGGCGCCGGCGGAGGCUCUGCCAGCAGCAGCGGCCGGAGGCCGAUUCCGGCGACCUCCAAAUCCUAUCAAAUUUUAACAGUAGCUUCCUCUCCACUCCCUCUACAACUUUCCUAACUAGCACAAACCCAAAAUCCAAGCCUAACUAGGUCAAACGAGCAAAAACAUCUAAAACACCCUAGAACUUCCACCUCUAAUUUCUCAUUACCUGAAGCGAACCGGAGUGAGCCCUUUUAGGGCAAGGCAGCUGGGUUGGAGACCUUCAAAACUGUACCAAGCUUGCCCGGAUUGGUGGCCAGAGGAGGGAGUUCCGGCGAAGGAGGACUUUGGGCAGCCCGAGGUUCUAGGCGGGAGAACUCCUUCACGGCGGCGCUAGGGCAGCCUUCACCGGCCUAGAAUGGAAGCUGGGUCGGAGGGCAACCGAAUGGGACCGGAGCGGCGGCCUACGGUGGCCGGACGGCGGCGAGCUGAGCGGAGGAAACCGGCGGGGGAGAGAGAGAAGAGAGAAAGAAAAGAGAGAAGAAGAAGAAAUAGGCUUGGGCCUCCUACCCGGUCCAAGUCCUAUAUACAACCCAAUUCCAAAAAUAAAACACCCCGAAAAAAUAAUACCCGAAUAAAAAUUACCUUUUACUAGCUAAAAUUUACCAUUUUUACCGUUGUCAUGUUUUUCUCCUACGAAUAAUUCCCCGAAAUUAAUCGUCCCUCAAAACACCUCUAGGGACCGAUUAAACUAUUACCUCAAUGACGGAGACGGUAAAAUUCUUAUUAUAACCAAGCUAGUAAAUAAGGUAAAAAUUUAAGGGUCGGGAUGUGACACGAAUUCUGUUUAUGCACUUCAACAGAAUUCCUGGCAAACUGUAUUUUGUGUUUCUUAAAAAAUAUUAAGGGAAGAAGAGAAGGAUUUUUAUUCUUUUGAUUUUUCUGGUUUGAUCGUCUCUUAUAGACUACGAAUUGAACAAUUGCAAUGCUUCGGUAGAACUAAAACGUUGCAAUGGUUUGUUCAAAACCAGACUCUUCCAACAGACAUAUCUGUUGCAAAAUAGAAUCCAGAUAAAAGG